This 253-nucleotide ribosomal RNA is filed under the name uncultured bacterium. RNAcentral describes it as "partial 16S ribosomal RNA". It matches the Rfam family "Bacterial small subunit ribosomal RNA", at positions 524 to 776 of the family's 1533-position model. The record is from RNAcentral.
UACGUAGGGGGCUAGCGUUGUCCGGAAUCAUUGGGCGUAAAGAGCGCGUAGGCGGCCAUCUAAGUCAGACGUGAAAUCCCCCGGCUUAACCUGGGAACUGCGUCUGAUACUGGACGGCUUGAGUUUGGGAGAGGGAUGCAGAAUUCCAGGUGUAGCGGUGAAAUGCGUAGAUAUCUGGAGGAAUACCGGUGGCGAAGGCGGCAUCCUGGACCAACACUGACGCUGAUGCGCGAAAGCUAGGGGAGCAAACGGG